This 72-nucleotide transfer RNA is filed under the name Anaerolineaceae bacterium. RNAcentral describes it as "tRNA-Gly". It matches the Rfam family "tRNA". Rfam says of the family: Transfer RNA (tRNA) molecules are approximately 80 nucleotides in length. Their secondary structure includes four short double-helical elements and three loops (D, anti-codon, and T loops). The record is from RNAcentral. RNAcentral also lists the same sequence under 1 other name. Lineage: Bacteria; Bacillati; Chloroflexota; Anaerolineae; Anaerolineales; Anaerolineaceae.
GCGGGUGUAGCUCAAUGGUAGAGCGCGUGCUUCCCAAGCACGAUGUUGCGAGUUCGAGCCUCGUCGCCCGCU